CCUACGGGUGGCAGCAGUGAGGAAUAUUGGUCAAUGGGCUUACGCCUUAACCAGCCAAGUCGCGUGAGGGAAGACUGCCCUAUGGGUUGUAAACCUCUUUUGUCAGGGAGCAACGCCGGCUACGUGUAGCCGGACUGAGAGUACCUGAAGAAAAAGCAUCGGCUAACGCCGUGCCACCAGCCGCGGUAAUACGGAGGAUGCGAGCGUUAUCCGGAUUUAUUGGGUUUAAGGGGUGCGUAGGCGGAAUGCCAGGUCAGCGGUAAAAUCGCGGGGCUCAACCUCGCUCCGCCGUUGAAACUGGCGUUCUUGAGUGCUGGAGAGGCAAUCGGAAUUCCGGGUGUAGCGGUGAAAUGCGUAGAUAUACGGAGGAACACCAGUGGCGAAGGCGGAUUGCUGGACAGUAACUGACGCUGAGGCGCGAAAGCGUGGGGAGCAAACAGGAUUAGAUACCCGAGUAGUC
Molecule: ribosomal RNA, 460 nt
Filed under: uncultured bacterium
Lineage: Bacteria
Description: partial 16S ribosomal RNA
Rfam family: Bacterial small subunit ribosomal RNA
Source: RNAcentral